RNAcentral lists this long non-coding RNA (1123 nucleotides) under Olea europaea subsp. europaea. The record is from RNAcentral. Lineage: Eukaryota; Viridiplantae; Streptophyta; Magnoliopsida; Lamiales; Oleaceae.
AUAAUGAGUUGCUCUUCCCAAAUGGCAUUUUUCUUUACUUACAAAUCAAACAAACGAUAUAUACCCUACACAAACGUAAAUCAGAAGCCCCAAAUCAAAAAUUCUUCCCCAAUCACAAACCCUAGAUCGUUAAUUGAUCUACCAAAAUUUGAUUCAAAACCGCGAAGGGAAUCACCAAAUUGAGAACGUAGACAAAAUCACACAAGCCCAGCUGCUUCCGCCCAUGGUGAAGGUAAUCCAUGAUUCAACGAUACGAAAUCGUACCUUGAAUAUCCUUUUUUCUUCGAAGAAUAUAUAUUUCGUACCCUUGAAUUAACAGAAGGAAUUUAUUUCGAAUGUUGUGGUUGCACAAAAUCAAAGAAAAUAAUUUAAAUACAAGUUAUUUAAUUUAUGGAUUUUAUAUUUUGAUAGUUUGUUUUUGGUGAAUUCUUCAAUCACCCACAUGGGAUUCAUAUCCGUUUUUCGUUUUGUGCUUUCAUUUUCAAAUUUGUUUCUUGUAGUCAUAGCACAUGCUUUCUAUGGAAAGUGAACUUAAUUUUAUGUUCAUUUUGUAAGUGGUAAUCGCACAAUCAAUUCAAUAUUUCUUGCAAUGCUCUAAUUAUGGAUGAAGGUAAUCAUUUAACCGUUGCAUAUUCAUUUGGCCUAGGAUUUUUGGUAGAGGAAGCUGAAUUAGAAAAAUGUUGUGUUAGUAUUGCAGUCAUUUCAUGUGGAAACCGGAAGGUGAUUCGAGUUGUGGUUGUUCAGGUACAUGUAAGGCUAAACAUCCCGAGCGAGAUCUGUCGUGCAUGUUUGAGCAAUGGGCUACCAUCAUAGAGAAAAAAGACGUUGAGAUCUCCAUUAAUAUCACUAUCCAGAAGGGAAAAGGAGUGACGGAAAAGGGAAUGGUUCCGUGAAUUAUUUCCGCCAAUGUGACGAGGCAAAGACUUUUGUUGGAGUUAUCACAUCCCAUUUUUUUUGUAAUCAGCACUAAACUUGUCGUAAAUUAUGUUUUUUGUACGUCAACGUCGUUUUAGUAGUUCACUUUGUUUUCCAACUCUUGUUGUAUGUCGAUGGCGUAAACUUGUCGAUGUGGUUUAUUUGAAUGCAUAAACAAUAUCUAUUGUGUUUGGUUUUUAUGAUUUGA